This 31-nucleotide small nuclear RNA is filed under the name Cervus elaphus hippelaphus. Lineage: Eukaryota; Metazoa; Chordata; Mammalia; Artiodactyla; Cervidae. The record is from RNAcentral.
GUGCUCGCUUCAGCAGCACAUAUACUAAAAU